GACGAACGCUGGCGGCGUGCUUAACACAUGCAAGUCGAACGGGCCCGCUCUCUUUUUUGGGGGUGGGUUGAGUGGCGAACGGGUGAGUAUCACGUGAGUAACCUGCCCCCUGCUCCUGGAUAACUGCUUGAAAGGGCGGCUAAUACGGGGUGUGCCGGCUGGUCCGCAUGGGCCUGGUCGGGAUAGUUUCAUCUUCGGGUGUUUCGGUGGGGGAUGGGCUCGCGGCCUAUCAGCUUGUUGGUGGGGUGAUGGCCCACCAAGGCGGUGACGGGUCGCCGGCCUGAGAGGGUGGGCGGCCACACUGGGACUGAGACACGGCCCAGACGCCUGCGGGAGGAAGCAGGGGGGGGUAGUGCACAAUGGGCGGAAGCCUGAUGCAGCGACGGCGCGUGAGGGAUGGAGGCCUUCGGGUUGGGAACCUCUUUCUCCGGUGGUGAAGGCCCUGUCCGUUGCGGCGGGGUUGACGGUAGCCGGGUAUGAAGCGCCGGCUAACUACGUG
RNAcentral lists this ribosomal RNA (499 nucleotides) under uncultured bacterium. RNAcentral's name for it is "partial 16S ribosomal RNA". It matches the Rfam family "Bacterial small subunit ribosomal RNA", at positions 28 to 507 of the family's 1533-position model. The record is from RNAcentral.